UACGAAGGGGGCUAGCGUUGCUCGGAUUUACUGGGCGUAAAGGGCGCGUAGGCGGAUGUUCAAGUCAGAGGUGAAAGCCCAGGGCUCAACCCUGGAACUGCCUUUGAAACUCGACAUCUGGAGUACGGGAGAGGUGAGUGGAACUCCGAGUGUAGAGGUGAAAUUCGUAGAUAUUCGGAAGAACACCAGUGGCGAAGGCGACUCACUGGCCCGUUACUGACGCUGAGGCGCGAAAGCGUGGGGAGCAAACAGG
Molecule: ribosomal RNA, 253 nt
Filed under: uncultured bacterium
Lineage: Bacteria
Description: partial 16S ribosomal RNA
Rfam family: Bacterial small subunit ribosomal RNA
Source: RNAcentral